UUAAGGGGUGCCCGAUUCUUGUUGUCGUGGCUGAGAUGAUACCCUCUGACCUGAUCCGGAUAAUGCCGGCGUAGGGAUAGGCUGAG
Molecule: non-coding RNA, 86 nt
Filed under: uncultured Prevotella sp.
Lineage: Bacteria; Pseudomonadati; Bacteroidota; Bacteroidia; Bacteroidales; Prevotellaceae
Description: TPP riboswitch (THI element)
Rfam family: TPP riboswitch aptamer (THI element)
About the family: Vitamin B(1) in its active form thiamin pyrophosphate (TPP) is an essential coenzyme that is synthesised by coupling of pyrimidine and thiazole moieties in bacteria. The previously detected thiamin-regulatory element, thi box was extended, resulting in a new, highly conserved RNA secondary structure, the THI element, which is widely distributed in eubacteria and also occurs in some archaea. Analysis of operon structures identified a large number of new candidate thiamin-regulated genes, mostly transporters, in various prokaryotic organisms.
Source: RNAcentral